GACGGAGGAUGCAAGUGUUAUCCGGAAUCACUGGGCGUAAAGCGUCUGUAGGUGGUCAAAUAAGUCAACUGUUAAAUCUUGAGGCUCAACCUCAAAAUCGCAGUCGAAACUAUUCGACUAGAGUAUAGUAGGGGUAAAGGGAAUUUCCAGUGGAGCGGUGAAAUGCGUAGAUAUCCGGAAGAACACCGAUGGCGAAGGCAACCACCUGGGCCUGUACUGACGCUGAGGUACGAAAGCGUGGGGAGCAAACAGG
RNAcentral lists this ribosomal RNA (253 nucleotides) under uncultured bacterium. RNAcentral describes it as "partial 16S ribosomal RNA". It matches the Rfam family "Bacterial small subunit ribosomal RNA", at positions 524 to 776 of the family's 1533-position model. The record is from RNAcentral.